GGACGAACGCUGGCGGCGUGCCUAACACAUGCAAGUCGAGCGAGAGACUUCGGUCUCUAGCGGCGGACGGGUGAGUAACACGUGGGUAACCUGCCUUAUAGAGGGGGAUAGCCUUCCGAAAGGGAGAUUAAUACCGCAUAAGAAGUAAAGGCCACAUGGUCUUAGCUUUAAAGGAGUAAUCCGCUAUAAGAUGGACCCGCGGCGUAUUAGCUAGUUGGAGAGGUAAAGGCUCACCAAGGCGACGAUACGUAGCCGACCUGAGAGGGUGAUCGGCCACAUUGGAACUGAGAUACGGUCCAGACUCCUACGGGAGGCAGCAGUGGGGAAUAUUGCACAAUGGGGGAAACCCUGAUGCAGCAACGCCGCGUGAGUGAAGAAGGCCUUCGGGUUGUAAAGCUCUGUUGUAGGGGACGAUAAUGACGGUACCCUACAAGGAAGCCACGGCUAACUACGUGCCAGCAGCCGCGGUAAUACGUAGGUGGCAAGCGUUGUCCGGAAUUACUGGGCGUAAAGGAUGCGUAGGCGGAUUAUUAAGUCAGAUGUGAAAUUCCCGAGCUUAACUUGGGAGCUGCAUUUGAAACUGAUAGUCUGGAGUGCAGGAGAGGUAAGUGGAAUUCCUAGUGUAGCGGUGAAAUGCGUAGAGAUUAGGAAGAACACCAGUGGCGAAGGCGACUUACUGGACUGUAACUGACGCUGAGGCAUGAAAGCGUGGGGAGCAAACAGGAUUAGAUACCCUGGUAGUCCACGCUGUAAACGAUGAAUACUAGGUGUGGGAGGUAUCGACUUCUUCUGUGCCGCAGUUAACACAAUAAGUAUUCCGCCUGGGGAGUACGGUCG
This 837-nucleotide ribosomal RNA is filed under the name uncultured bacterium. Its description in RNAcentral is "bacterial SSU rRNA". It matches the Rfam family "Bacterial small subunit ribosomal RNA", at positions 27 to 888 of the family's 1533-position model. The record is from RNAcentral.